Molecule: transfer RNA, 72 nt
Filed under: Camelus bactrianus (Bactrian camel)
Lineage: Eukaryota; Metazoa; Chordata; Mammalia; Artiodactyla; Camelidae
Also listed under: 2 other names
Rfam family: tRNA
About the family: Transfer RNA (tRNA) molecules are approximately 80 nucleotides in length. Their secondary structure includes four short double-helical elements and three loops (D, anti-codon, and T loops).
Source: Rfam by way of RNAcentral
GAGGGGGUAGCUCAGUGGUAGAACGCGUGUUUAGCAUGCACGAGGUCCUGGGUUUAAUCCCCAGCACCUCCA